AUUGAACGCUGGCGGCAGGCCUAACACAUGCAAGUCGAACGAGUGGCGGACGGGUGAGUAAUGUCUGGGAAACUGCCCGAUGGAGGGGGAUAACUACUGGAAACGGUAGCUAAUACAGCAUACCAUCGGAUGUGCCCAGAUGGGAUUAGCUAGUAGGUGGGGGAAAGGCUCACCUAGGCGACGAUCCCUAGCUGGUCUGAGAGGAUGACCAGCCACACUGGAACUGAGACACGGUCAAGACUCCUACGGGAGGCAGCAGUGGGGAAUAGUGCACAAUGGGCGCAAGCCUGAUGCAGCCAGGCGGCGGGUAUGAAGAAGGCCUUCGGGUUGUAAAGUACUUUCAGCGGGGAGGCGGUACCCGCAGAAGAAGCACCGGCUAACUCCGUGCCAGCAGCCGCGGUAAUUC
Molecule: ribosomal RNA, 406 nt
Filed under: uncultured bacterium
Lineage: Bacteria
Description: partial 16S ribosomal RNA
Rfam family: Bacterial small subunit ribosomal RNA
Source: RNAcentral